AUACGAAGGGGGCCAGCGUUGUUCGGAAUUACUGGGCGUAAAGCGCACGUAGGCGGAUAUUUAAGUCAGGGGUGAAAUCCCGGGGCUCAACCUCGGAACUGCCUUUGAUACUGGGUAUCUUGAGUAUGGAAGAGGUAAGUGGAAUUGCGAGUGUAGAGGUGAAAUUCGUAGAUAUUCGCAGGAACACCAGUGGCGAAGGCGGCUUACUGGUCCAUUACUGACGCUGAGGUGCGAAAGCGUGGGGAGC
RNAcentral lists this ribosomal RNA (247 nucleotides) under uncultured bacterium. RNAcentral's name for it is "partial 16S ribosomal RNA". It matches the Rfam family "Bacterial small subunit ribosomal RNA", at positions 523 to 769 of the family's 1533-position model. The record is from RNAcentral.